AACACCUGAGAUCCCCGAAACACCUAAUAAACCAACUGGUAUUCACCCUCUGAUGCCCUUGUACACUUCAUGGCCUGUAUGUCUGGGUCUCCUGUUGGCUGUUUGGGUUGUUUUUGUGUUGAUAAGGAGGAAGGUGAAGACUGCAGGAGGAUCUGAGGCUGUGGAGCUACAGAGCCUCUGAACUGGAGAAGAAAACCCUGGAAGAGAUGGAGCGCAAGCUUUUAUUAUUUCUGUCUUUUAUAUUUGAUAUACUUUUU
Molecule: long non-coding RNA, 257 nt
Organism: Astyanax mexicanus (Mexican tetra)
Lineage: Eukaryota; Metazoa; Chordata; Actinopteri; Characiformes; Acestrorhamphidae
Exons: 4
Source: RefSeq, a predicted model, not a curated record